This 486-nucleotide ribosomal RNA is filed under the name uncultured bacterium. RNAcentral describes it as "bacterial SSU rRNA". It matches the Rfam family "Bacterial small subunit ribosomal RNA", at positions 28 to 501 of the family's 1533-position model. The record is from RNAcentral.
GAUGAACGCUAGCGGCAGGCUUAACACAUGCAAGUCGAGGGGCAGCAUGAGACGGAGAUUCGUCGAAGUCUUGAUGGCGACCGGCGCAAGGGUGCGUAACGCGUGAGCAACUUGCCCGUUUCAGGGGGAUAACCGGUGGAAACGCCGACUAAUACCCCAUAGCAUUGAUUUCAGGCAUCUUUUUGUGAUUAAAGAAUUUCGGAUAAGGAUAGGCUCGCGUGACAUUAGCUAGACGGCGGGGUAACGGCCCACCGUGGCUACGAUGUCUAGGGGUUCUGAGAGGAAGGUCCCCCANACUGGAACUGAGACACGGUCCAGACUCCUACGGGAGGCAGCAGUGAGGAAUAUUGGUCAAUGGUCUGACGACUGAACCAGCCAUGCCGCGUGAAGGUCACGGCCCUAUGGGUCUUAAACUUCUUUUGCGAGGGAGCAAUAAGGUCUACGUGUAGGCCGAUGAGAGUACCUCGCGAAUAAGCAUCGGCUAAC